RNAcentral lists this long non-coding RNA (936 nucleotides) under Physcomitrium patens. Its description in RNAcentral is "long non-coding RNA (PPAT_LNC012086)". Lineage: Eukaryota; Viridiplantae; Streptophyta; Bryopsida; Funariales; Funariaceae. The record is from RNAcentral.
AAAUAGGAUUUACGUUUUGGGUGAUUUCAAGAGUUUUGUAAUAGAUCUACAGAUGAAGUUUUGUGGGUUUAUGGUUAUAGUUGUGUUUAAUAUGUGUCGUGAAUUUGAGCUUGAUCUAACGGUUGAAUUGAGGAAUAUUGAGGUUUAAGUGGGUCAAGGUCUCAGAAAGUAGAAUUUUAGGUCUAGUGGGGGUUUUUGAGAUUUCUUGCAAUCUAUUGGUUGAAUUGGAGUGAAACUUACGUGAGAGGAUAUUAGACUUGUUUUUCUUUGCGUAUGAGAAUUUUGAGAUCAAUUGAAAGGUGCAAAAGAGAGAUAUUGGCUCUAGAAGAUUGGCAUUAAAAUUGGAGAAGGAGGCCGACCAAUAUCCGAGCACAUUUUUGAGGAUAUUGUCAAUUUGGUAACUCCGAUCCUUAUCAAAUUUUUUGUUUGUUUUUAACUUAUUUUUUUAAAAGUGUGUAAAAUUUUAGUUAAGAUUAAAAGUUUAUUCAUUAGUUAUUGAGGUUUAAAUCUGUUGUAGGAAUUAUUAGGAUUUGAUUUAGGGUUUAGAGUUUGGAUUAGGAUUUGAUUUAGGGUUUAAGAUUUAGGGUUUGGAUUAAGAUUUGGUUAGGGAUUAAGGUUUGAUUAGGAUUUGAUUUAAGAUUUAGGGUUUGUCUAGGAUUUGAUUAAGGUUGGAUUAAGAUUAGGAUUUGGUUAGAAUUUAAGGUUCUAUUAGAUUUUUGUUAGGAUUUGACUAAGUUUUCUUUAAUAUUCUUUUAUAUUUCUUUAGGAUUUCCUUGUGUUCCUUUCAUAACUUCAAUAAAAUUUAAUUGAGCUUGCUUAAUAUUUGAUUAUGAUUAUUAAAGUUUAAUUUUAAAUUCUCUAUAAUCCUAUUGGAUUGUUAGGACCUUUUGUUGCAAUUUUCUUUUACCUUCCACAGCCAGGUGCUCGGUGCAUUCU